UGGGCCCCCAGGGCCAUUCCUGGCACACACAGAUGCUGGACUCCAAGCCCCAGGCCCCCUCCCUGCCCCGGCUGGUGACAAGGGGGACCUCCUGCUCCAGGCAGUGCAACAGAGCUGCCUGGCGGACCAUCUGCUGACAGCGUCAUGGGGGGCAGAUCCAGUCCCAACCAAGGCUCCUGGAGAGGGACAAGAAGGGCUUCCCCUGACUGGGGCCUGUGCUGGAGGUGUGGGCGUGCCCGGGGAGGCGGGGAGCGCGGGAGGGGCCAGUGCACCUGGACGGACACUUGAGAAGGGGGCUGGGGAUUGGGGAGCUGGAGAAUUAGGAGGGGACCACCGUUCCCACUGUCCUCCCCUCCUCAGGCCCAGGGCUCCCUGCUGGGGAGCUGUACGGGUGGGCAGUAGAGACGACCCCCAGCCCCGGGCCCCAGCCCGCGGCACUAACGACAGGUGAGAGGGGUAGGGGUUGGGAGGCCUGGGGCACAGGGAGGGGCUAGGGAUGAGGUGCCAGCACAGGAUUCCCUUCCGGAUGCAGGCGAGGCCGCGGCCCCAGAGUCCCCGCACCAGGCAGAGCCGUACCUGUCACCCUCCCCAAGCGCCCGCACCGCGGUGCAAGAGCCCAGCCCAGGGGCGCUGGACGUGACCAUCAUGUACAAGGG
Molecule: small RNA, 656 nt
Filed under: Pan troglodytes (chimpanzee)
Lineage: Eukaryota; Metazoa; Chordata; Mammalia; Primates; Hominidae
Description: retained intron
Source: RNAcentral